GUCCGGGUGGUGAAACUGGUAGACACGCCAUCUUGAGGGGGUGGUGGCCUAACGGCUGUGGGGGUUCGAAUCCCCCUCCGGACA
This 84-nucleotide transfer RNA is filed under the name Chitinophagaceae bacterium. Its description in RNAcentral is "tRNA-Leu". It matches the Rfam family "tRNA". From Rfam's summary of the family: Transfer RNA (tRNA) molecules are approximately 80 nucleotides in length. Their secondary structure includes four short double-helical elements and three loops (D, anti-codon, and T loops). Lineage: Bacteria; Pseudomonadati; Bacteroidota; Chitinophagia; Chitinophagales; Chitinophagaceae. The record is from RNAcentral.